GUGCUGGUUUCGGCAGCACACACAGUAAACUUGGAAUGACAGAGAAGCUUAGUGUGGCCCUGCGCGAGGCAGACAUGCAAAGUCGUGAAGCGUUCCGUAUUUUU
RNAcentral lists this small nuclear RNA (104 nucleotides) under Chinchilla lanigera (long-tailed chinchilla). The record is from RNAcentral. Lineage: Eukaryota; Metazoa; Chordata; Mammalia; Rodentia; Chinchillidae.